GCCUCUGUGAUGGAAUUGGUAGACGUGUCGCGUUGAGGUCGCGGCGCCCGUUUGGGCGUGCCGGUUCGAGUCCGGCCAGAGGCA
This 84-nucleotide transfer RNA is filed under the name Medakamo hakoo. RNAcentral describes it as "trnL-GAG". It matches the Rfam family "tRNA". Rfam says of the family: Transfer RNA (tRNA) molecules are approximately 80 nucleotides in length. Their secondary structure includes four short double-helical elements and three loops (D, anti-codon, and T loops). Lineage: Eukaryota; Viridiplantae; Chlorophyta; Trebouxiophyceae; Coccomyxaceae. The record is from RNAcentral.